Molecule: ribosomal RNA, 770 nt
Filed under: uncultured bacterium
Lineage: Bacteria
Description: bacterial SSU rRNA
Rfam family: Bacterial small subunit ribosomal RNA
Source: RNAcentral
GGACGACCAGCCACAGGAGCACUGAGACACGGGCUCCACUCCUACGGGAGGCAGCAGUUAGGAAUCUUCGUCAAUGGGCGAAAGCCUGAACGAGCGACGCCGCUUGAGGGACGAAGCCCUUCGGGGUGUAAACCUCUGAACAGGGGACGAUGAUGACGGUACCCUGCUAAUAGCACCGGCUAACUCCGUGCCAGCAGCCGCGGUAAUACGGAGGGUGCGAGCGUUACCCGGAUUUACUGGGCGUAAAGGGCGUGUAGGCGGUUUUCUAAGUCCGGGGCUAAAGACCAGGGCUCAACCCUGGGUUUGCCUUGGAUACUGGAAAGCUCGACGGCUGGAGGGGGCAGCGGAAUUUCCGGAGUAGCGGUGAAAUGCGCAGAUACCGGAAGGAACGCCAAUAGCGAAGGCAGCUGCCUGGACAGUACGUGACGCUGAGGCGCGAAAGCGUGGGGAGCAAACCGGAUUAGAUACCCGGGUAGUCCACGCCCUAAACGAUGAGUGCUGGGUGUCCGGCGUUUGCCGGGUGCCGAAGCUAACGCGUUAAGCACUCCGCCUGGGAAGUACGGUCGCAAGACUGAAACUCAAAGGAAUUGACGGGGGCCCGCACAAGCGGUGGAGCAUGUGGUUUAAUUCGAAGGAACGCGAAGAACCUUACCAGGCCUUGACAUCCUAGGAACCCUGAUGAAAGUCGGGGGUGCCCGCAAGGGAACCUAGAGACAGGUGCUGCAUGGCUGUCGUCAGCUCGUGUCGUGAGAUGUUGGGUUAAGUCCCGC